RNAcentral lists this long non-coding RNA (810 nucleotides) under Mytilus galloprovincialis (Mediterranean mussel). The record is from RNAcentral. Lineage: Eukaryota; Metazoa; Mollusca; Bivalvia; Mytilida; Mytilidae.
AUGUAUUGUACAAUCCUAUUUUGUUUUUUAUCAGAAUCAUUUUUGGGGUUUCCCUUACCAAAGCAUGGUUUUGAAAGUGGCAGGUGGGUAUAAUUUAUGAGCUUCUGUUGCAGUUCAUUAUGUUCAAAGUCUAUUUAGUUAAUGAAUUAAUUAACUACAUUUUUCUGAAAGUACCAGUUAAAUUUGAUAAAACAGAGAGAUUCAUAAGGAAGAGUCAUAAAAACUGAACUACUAUAUAUGCAUAAAGAAAUAUCCUGUCAUCCCUCAUCAAAUAACAAUUAUGCUACAUGGAAGAUGAUUGUUUAGAGUUUAGACAUGCUAGAUUUUUUAAUAAGGAGCAUACAGAUUUUUUGUAAAAAAAGACCUCUAGUAUUUAGCAGCCUGAUACUUGUUCCUUUACUUUUUUCAAUUACUCUUAUUUCUGAAGUGGUAUGAAACAUGUUUUUUCUGUAUUGACCAAUAUUAUGUUAAAUUAAAGCAAUUUUAUAAAGAAUUUCUGAAGAAGUCAUGCUUAUAAUGUAUGUGAAAAAUUAUCAAAAGAUGGUUACUUUAUUCAAUGUUUUUGACAAAUACUGAAAAGGAAAGAAUUGGACAAAAUGAAAUAUCUGAUCACAGUCUACAGAGCAGAUCUACAUUCAUCAUGUUUUUUGUAGUUGUAUGAUGUAGGGAUGACUCAAACCCUUUACAGAAAUAUUAAUUGUUUAAAUAUGUAUGUUAUUCUAAGAUAUAUUGAGCCAAAUAUGAACAGUGCAAUAUUGUUGUUGUGUAAUGUUUGUUAAAUGACCCAUCAUGUUUUGAAAAAUUGAAACA